AACCGCACUUGUAGUGUUGUCAUUGACUACGGGAAGCUUUGCCAGCUACAUCGGCGCUGGCUACGGCCUCGGCUACGGCGUUAGCCACUUCGGCGUGUCUAGAGGCAUUGGGUACUCCACUGUGACGGGAUUCGCCCACAGUAUUGGCUACGCCCCGACGCAGGGCUACUCACUCAUUCCUGCCGGCACAGCACAUGCUCCUGCCGUACCACUGCUCACGGCGCACGCAGUUCCAGCUGUGGCUCCGGUAGUCGUUCCAGCAGGUGUGGCCACGGUCACGACAACUUAUCAUGCACCAGCUACAAUUACUACACUCACUACAGUACCAGCCACGGUGACCAAGGUGACAACCACGUAUCACACUCCUGUAGUGAGUACAGAUGUACACCUGGCUCCUGUCUAUGGACACAAGAUCGGCAGCCUCGGGUACGGAACUGGAAACUAUGGCUUCGGAUACGGUCUAGGGUCGUACGGCCUCAACUACGGCUACGGUCUUGGUACACCUGUGCAGUAUCUGAUUCUCCUGCGUCGGCGGAAGUAAACAACGAACAACGGACUCCUUGAAAUGUGACAUGGGCUUCCGUUUGCCAUUAGGAACACUUUGCUCAUGCUACUACUACGAGAAAACGCGACUAUUCUAAGUACAUUUAGGUGUUAUCUAGUCUUUUUAAUAACCUUGCCGCUGUGUUUCUACGUAUUUCUGCUGGUAAUCUUACGGUUAAUGGCUACGUCGCGAGAAGUUUGGAAUAAAUCACACUGGCAGCACU
Rhipicephalus sanguineus (brown dog tick) is the source of this 767-nucleotide long non-coding RNA. RefSeq lists it as uncharacterized. The record is from RefSeq and is a predicted model, not a curated record. The transcript is spliced from 2 exons. NCBI's taxonomy places the organism in Eukaryota, Metazoa, Arthropoda, Arachnida, Ixodida, Ixodidae.